UACGGGGGGAGCAAGCGUUGUUCGGAUUUACUGGGCGUAAAGGGCGCGUAGGCGGAUCUUUAAGUCAGGGGUGAAAUCCUGGAGCUCAACUCCAGAACUGCCUUUGAUACUGGGGAUCUCGAGUCCGGAAGAGGUGAGUGGAACUCCGAGUGUAGAGGUGAAAUUCGUAGAUAUUCGGAAGAACACCAGUGGCGAAGGCGGCUCACUGGUCCGGUACUGACGCUGAGGUGCGAAAGCGUGGGGAGCAAACAGG
Molecule: ribosomal RNA, 253 nt
Filed under: uncultured bacterium
Lineage: Bacteria
Description: partial 16S ribosomal RNA
Rfam family: Bacterial small subunit ribosomal RNA
Source: RNAcentral